AUCGCUUCUCGGCCUUUUGGCUAAGAUCAAGUGUAGUAUCUGUUCUUAUCAGUUUAAAAUGUAUUAACUCAUAAAAAUAAAAAAUAACAAAAAAUCCAAU
Molecule: small nuclear RNA, 100 nt
Filed under: Myotis lucifugus (little brown bat)
Lineage: Eukaryota; Metazoa; Chordata; Mammalia; Chiroptera; Vespertilionidae
Description: U2 spliceosomal RNA
Rfam family: U2 spliceosomal RNA
About the family: U2 is a small nuclear RNA (snRNA) component of the spliceosome (involved in pre-mRNA splicing). Complementary binding between U2 snRNA (in an area lying towards the 5' end but 3' to hairpin I) and the branchpoint sequence (BPS) of the intron results the bulging out of an unpaired adenosine, on the BPS, which initiates a nucleophilic attack at the intronic 5' splice site, thus starting the first of two transesterification reactions that mediate splicing.
Source: Rfam by way of RNAcentral